CAGGCUAUCGUCGUCGUGUCGGGUUUUAAGGAGUUAGAUCGAACUGACGGCCGGUGGAGGACCUAGUUAGGAGAGCGAGUAGCAGGAGGUCGAACGGCUGGCACCGCCUCCAGGUCUAGGCCACGGGUGGACCCUUUCAUGCCGGUCAUCUCCACGACAAGGUCGAGGACCAGCAGAGCAGCGGCGGCCACGAUGAGGCCGCCUAGAGCGGGACAAGGUUCGGUGCUGGAACACGCUUGUUCGUGAAGUCCUAUGAGACGAGGCCGCCAAUCUCCAGCUGGAGCGGGGCAUGAAGAAGGAUGGGGUUGGGCGGUAAGAGGUGUGCAACGCGGGAUGAGGACACGCCGAUCGAGCCGGUGGGUGGCUGCGGUCUCUUCUUUAGAACCCAGAAUUCUAGCCUCGAACAGCUGAUCACGAUCCGAGCCGGAGGCAACAAGACGACAACGUAGAGUUAGACUUUACGUCCCUUCAUCAUAAAAUGUAUACAGUACCGGAUGACCUCACAGGCUUGUUAUCGACAACUCGAGAAAAGUCGUUUUUUUUUUCCAAACACAAGCAGACAAAGAAUCCAGUCAACACCGUUUACCGCAUGUUUCGACCGUAUUACUAAAGGAAAGAAGAGUUAUAUACUACAAACUAUAUACAAAGAUUGUCUGUGUAUAAAUAAACCACACGAAUUGAUCUACCUAACUUGACUACUUCAAAUAUAUCUCGGCGGAACUCUUUUUUUUCAAAUAUAUCUCAGGUACCUCCAACAGUAGAUAAGGUCGUCUACUUCCAGCUAAUCGUUCAGUGAUGUUUUCCUUCCGUUCUAGUAUCUAGAAAAGACAGUAGGUAGUUAGGAAUUAUGAACCAAAAGGACCUUUACAUCAUUUUUGCUAGAUACAUACGGAGAACACAACACAAGAGUACAUGAACUUAUGAGUUUACGAACAACUCUAUAUUACAUGGUAGUCAGGAAUUAUGCGCCAGAUGGACCCUUACAUGAUGUUUUCUAGACACAUACGGAAAACACAACACAAGAGUACAUGAUAUGAGACAACUCGCCCGUGAAGC
This 1056-nucleotide ribosomal RNA is filed under the name Triticum aestivum (bread wheat). RNAcentral's name for it is "partial small subunit ribosomal RNA". Lineage: Eukaryota; Viridiplantae; Streptophyta; Magnoliopsida; Poales; Poaceae. The record is from RNAcentral.